AUUCUGCCCAUGCGGGGAAGGAUGAGAAGCUUCGACCAAGGUGCGACUCGAGCGCCAGCGAGAAAGCGUUGCCGCAGGCAACGACCCGA
This 89-nucleotide small RNA is filed under the name Escherichia coli. RNAcentral describes it as "partial RtT sRNA". It matches the Rfam family "RtT RNA", at positions 1 to 87 of the family's 130-position model. Rfam says of the family: This family represents a bacterial cis-regulatory element known as RtT RNA. Lineage: Bacteria; Pseudomonadati; Pseudomonadota; Gammaproteobacteria; Enterobacterales; Enterobacteriaceae. The record is from RNAcentral.